RNAcentral lists this ribosomal RNA (493 nucleotides) under uncultured bacterium. RNAcentral describes it as "partial 16S ribosomal RNA". It matches the Rfam family "Bacterial small subunit ribosomal RNA", at positions 29 to 523 of the family's 1533-position model. The record is from RNAcentral.
AUUGAACGCUGGCGGCAUGCUUUACACAUGCAAGUCGAACGGUAACAGGUUAAGCUGACGAGUGGCGAACGGGUGAGUAAUGCAUCGGAACGUGCCCGAUCGUGGGGGAUAACGCAGCGAAAGCUGCGCUAAUACCGCAUACGAUCUGAGGAUGAAAGCGGGGGACCGUAAGGCCUCGCGCGAUCGGAGCGGCCGAUGUCAGAUUAGGUAGUUGGUGGGGUAAAGGCUCACAAAGCCAACGAUCUGUAGCUGGUCUGAGAGGACGACCAGCCACAUUGGGACUGAGACACGGCCCAGACUCCUACGGGAGGCAGCAGUGGGGAAUUUUGGACAAUGGGCGAAAGCCGGAUCCAGCAAUGCCGCGUGCAGGAAGAAGGCCUUCGGGUUGUAAACUGCUUUUGUACGGAGCGAAAAGGUCUCCUCUAAUACAGGGGGCUCAUGACGGUACCGUAAGAAUAAGCACCGGCUAACUACGUGCCAGCAGCCGCCGUAA